RNAcentral lists this ribosomal RNA (260 nucleotides) under uncultured Clostridiaceae bacterium. Its description in RNAcentral is "partial 16S ribosomal RNA". It matches the Rfam family "Bacterial small subunit ribosomal RNA", at positions 524 to 783 of the family's 1533-position model. The record is from RNAcentral. Lineage: Bacteria; Bacillati; Bacillota; Clostridia; Eubacteriales; Clostridiaceae.
UACGUAUGGAGCGAGCGUUGUCCGGAAUUAUUGGGCGUAAAGGGUGCGCAGGCGGCUUUACAAGUUGGAUGUGAAAUAUUGUGGCUCAACCACAAACGUGCAUCCAAAACUGCAAAGCUUGAGUUAAGGAGAGGUAAGUGGAAUUCCUGGUGUAGCGGUGGAAUGCGUAGAUAUCAGGAGGAAUACCGGUGGCGAAGGCGACUUACUGGACUUAAACUGACGCUCAGGCACGAAAGCGUGGGGAGCAAACAGGAUUAGAU